GCUAGAAAUCAGGCGCAUUUGCUUCUAUGGCAUGUAUACUAUAAGGCAUGUAUACUAUAAGGCAUGUAUACUAUACAAUUCAUUAUUAUAAUGAUUUUGCGCCAGUAACUAUCUGCAAAGUAUUUAACAAACAGUAAAAUGGAAUCUGUUUUCCUGCUGAAAAAUACUUACAGAGCCAAAUCAAAGUGUAAAAAAAGAAAAUAUUGCGAAAGAGAAAAAUAAAAAAGAAAACCGCGAAACCACUUUGAAUAUAAGCCACAAUAGUCCAAGAAUACUCGUUGCAGAAAAAAACAACAAAAAAGAAACAAUUUUCUGCCUAAAAUAUCCUGGAUUAGGGGCUUAACGAUAAGAAACGUAGUUCUCACUCCAAAGUGGAGAAUAGGCUCGUUUCUUUAGGUUGCUAAUGCAUUGCGCGCGCGCGCGCUUUAAAAAUUGUACUAUAAGUUUAAAGUUGAAAAGACCGCCAGGGAAAAUAGAGUGUUUUCAUGUGUUGCUUUGUUGACGGACAAGUAUCUUAAAAUAACGGUUUUCUUGUUUACUUGUAUUUCGG
Molecule: non-coding RNA, 550 nt
Organism: Paramuricea clavata
Lineage: Eukaryota; Metazoa; Cnidaria; Anthozoa; Malacalcyonacea; Plexauridae
Source: the annotation of a GenBank genome assembly